CCCUGCCCUGUUUCCCUCUCUUCCUGCCUUGACUCUGGCCACGCCUCCUCCCUGAUCCUCUGUCACCUGCAGCCUGGACCGGUCCACUCAUUCCACUCACCUGUGCCUCGGCUCUGCUUAAAUACGCCGCCUCAUUCAUGCUCAUUUUUGAUGGUGGAAAUUGGUGGAUUUCGGUGAAUGACUUAAGUAAAUAAGAAGCAACAAGCGCGGCUCAACCAGGCGGCAUGUUGACACCAGAGCGACCACAUCUUCAUACCUGACCAAUCCACCUGCAGCAGCUAAUGGAUGAACCCUCUGACGACACCUCUGCCUCCUCCCUCUCCAUCAGCUCCAACACCUGCCGUGGACUCCCUGCAGCUCCUCUCCUCUUUGGACUCCUCAGCUCCUGAUCUGAGCUUCAUAGGUCCAGUUUCAACUCUGAGCUCCAGCAAUAAAUACUGCCUGUUCUGCAACUAGUCUCUGGGUCUGAAUCUGCUCACUCACAGUUUGGUUCACAGCCAUGUUUUAACAGGUUGUGAUGCAAUCAAUCACAUUCAUCUUUCAAAAUCAACAUAAAUGUAACGUUGAUGAAUGACCAUGAAUCAGCGUAAAUGUAACGUUGAUGAUCAAACAUAAUGCAACAU
Long non-coding RNA from Betta splendens (Siamese fighting fish), 623 nucleotides. RefSeq lists it as uncharacterized. Lineage: Eukaryota; Metazoa; Chordata; Actinopteri; Anabantiformes; Osphronemidae. The transcript is spliced from 3 exons. The record is from RefSeq and is a predicted model, not a curated record.